CCCUCCCUUUCCCCCUCUCCUUCUCCUCAUCCCUCCCUUUACCCCUCUCCUACUCCACCACCAGCAAAACCAAAAUCCCAGAUUGGAGUCUGGAAAACUCAAACAUUCCCAGCUGGAGUGAGUCUAUACCAGGGGUCAUCAACUAAAUUCAGCCGAGGGAUGAUUUCUUUCUUGAGUGGAUGGUCAGGGGGCCGGAACUUAAUUACAAAUCAUUUGUAGACUACAAAUUGACCUCGAGAAGCCCAAACAGAUGUGAUAUUAGACUAAAACGUAAUAAUUUCAAACCUUGCUUACAUUUAUAUAUGAUCACAUACACUGAGUAUACAAAACAUUAAGGACACCUGCUCUUUCCAUGACACAGACUGACCAGGUGAAUCCAAGUGAAAGCUAUGAUCCCUUAUUGAUUUUAAAUCCACUUCAAUCAGUGUAGAUGAAAUGGAGGAGACAGGUUAAAAAAUGAUUUUUAAGUCUUGAGACAAUUGAGACAUGGAUUGUGUAUGUGUGUCUUUCAGAGGCUUAAUGGGCAAGCCAAAACAUGGAAGUGCCUUUGAACGGGGUUUGGUAGUAGGUGCCAGGCGCACUGGUUUGUGUCAAGAACUGCAACGUUGCUGGGUAUUUCACACUCCCAAAGGACAUCCAGCCAACUUGACACAACUGUGGGAAGCAUUGGAGUCAACAUGGACCAGCAUCCCUGUGGAACGCUUUCAACACCAUGUAGGGUCCAUGCCCUGACGAAUAAGGCUUUUCUGAGGGCAAAAGGGCAAAUCAAUAUUAGGAAGGUGUUCUUAAUGUUUGGUAUACCCAGUGUUUAUCUCUCUAUUAUGCGUGGGAAUACUUUGGAACAGAUUUUAAAAAUUAAAAUCACUUGGAGCUGAUUUGCUGGUGUUUUUACAGUCUUUUAUGUCCAACAACAACAAAAAGUUAGCCGCCAGUUGGGGAACCCUGGUGUGCGCACACACACACGCACACACACACACACACACACACACACACACACACACACACACACACACACACACACACACACACACACACACACACACACACACACACACACACACACACACACACACACACACACACACACACACACACACACAGAGAGAGAGAGAGCUGGCAGGGCAGACACAUUUGAUUAGAAAAAGUGAAGAAAAAAAGAUGGGAAUAAAUCUUCCUGGGAGACGGCUAAAUAGUAAACACGUCAAAACGAUCUAUCUUCCCACAGUCUGACACUUUGGAUAAGAGUUUAUUAAAGAUGUAUUCUCUAUUAAAGGUGCAGCUCUCUCUAAUGAAGACAUUAUUGGACAGAAUAACAGUCUUGGACUUCACACCUCUUUUUUUGUCCCUGGAUUCGUGUUGGCCCGUGUCGACUCAUUUCCACUGAAAUAACAAUCUGUAACAGUUUAACAUUACAAUUAGCUAAUGAAAUUGCGCCUGCCCCAGUGCCAGAUGGGUGGUGUUUGCAGUUUUGGGACUAUUCCAUUGGUUCCAUUGUGUCAGAAAGGCUCCCAAUAGGUAGGUAGCUAACAUUCAGUCAGCUAGUCUCCCAGUAGGUAGGUAGCUAACAUUCAGUCAGCUAGUCUCCCAGUAGGUAGGUAGCUAACAUUCAGUCAGCUAGUCUCCCCGUAGGUAGGUAGCUAACAUUCAGUCAGCUAGUCUCCCCGUAGGUAGGUAGCUAACAUUCAGUCAGCUAGUCUCCCAGUAGGUAGGUAGCUAACAUUCAGUCAGCUAGUCUCCCCGUUGGUAGGUAGCUAACAUUCAGUCAGCUAGUCUCCCUGUAGGUAGGUAGCUAACAUUCAGUCAGCUCGUCUCCCCGUAGGUAGGUAGCUAACAUUCAGUCAGCUAGUCUCCCCGUUGGUAGGUAGCUAACAUUCAGUCAGCUAGUCUCCCAGUAGGUAGGUAGCUAACAUUCAGUCAGCUAGUCUCCCAGUAGGUAGGUAGCUAACAUUCAGUCAGCUAGUCUCCCAGUAGGUAAGUAGCUAACAUUCAGUCAGCUAGUCUCCCAGUAGGUAGGUAGCUAACAGUCAGUCAGCUAGUCUCCCCGUAGGUAGGUAGCUAACAUUCAGUCAGCUAGUCUCCCAGUAGGUAGGUAGCUAACAUUCAGUCAGCUAGUCUCCCAGUAGGUAAGUAGCUAACAUUCAGUCAGCUAGUCUCCCAGUAGGUAGGUAGCUAACAUUCAGUCAGCUAGUCUCCCCGUAGGUAGGUAGGUAACAUUCUGUCAGCUAGUCUCCUCCACUCAUGCCGCCACAGCUCAGCAGAGGGGAUAAGGAGCAGUGGUGUCUGCCAUCAAAGGACCUGUCACCACCACAGCUAAUGGAGCAGCACACACUCUCUCUCUCACAGCUGUGUCAUACCACAUUCAUAGGGGUAUUUUGAGUUAGGGGGAAAACACACAGAGAGAGAGUGGAGGAGGUGGAGGAAAAAGGAGGGGGAGAAAGUGGGAAUGAGGUAGAAAGGGAGAGAGAAUCUGAGAGGGAGCGAGAGUAUGUAGGGGGGAUGGAUAGAGU
This is a long non-coding RNA of Oncorhynchus keta (chum salmon), 2507 nucleotides long. RefSeq lists it as uncharacterized. The transcript is spliced from 4 exons. NCBI's taxonomy places the organism in Eukaryota, Metazoa, Chordata, Actinopteri, Salmoniformes, Salmonidae. The record is from RefSeq and is a predicted model, not a curated record.